GGGAGGUAGUGACAAUAAAUAACAAUGCAGGGCCCUUUGGGUCUUGCAAUUGGAAUGAGUACAAUUUAAAUCCCUUAACGAGGAACAAUUGGAGGGCAAGUCUGGUGCCAGCAGCCGCGGUAAUUCCAGCUCCAAUAGCGUAUAUUAAAGUUGUUGCAGUUAAAAAGCUCGUAGUUGGAUUUCUGGUGGGGGCCGCUGGUCCGCCGCGCAAGUGGCGUGACCGAUGCGUGCCUACCGCCAUCCUCGGGGGGGCUUCGCGUGGGAUUAGUUUCUCGUGCGGAUGUUUACCCGUCUUUUACUGUGAAAAAAUUAGAGUGUUCAAAGCAGGCUGAGGCCGUUGAAUACAUUAGCAUGGAAUAAUGAGAUAGGACCUUGGCGGU
Molecule: ribosomal RNA, 380 nt
Filed under: Phaeomonas parva
Lineage: Eukaryota; Pinguiophyceae; Pinguiochrysidales; Pinguiochrysidaceae
Description: partial Eukaryotic small subunit ribosomal RNA
Rfam family: Eukaryotic small subunit ribosomal RNA
Source: RNAcentral